AGGGUGCUUAACAAUCUACAGUCUUUCCCUCGUGGUAUGGAAUGUAUCGAUCCACUUGGGUUGGGGAUCAUAGAUAAUAGAUCUUUAAGGUUGAUCACUGAAUCAUCAGAAAGCUCUCCAAAAUCUGACAAAGAAUUUCUGGAUAAUAGUCUUCGGGAGAAGUUGUUAUAUUUAUCUGAAAAGUUUGAUGAAAAGCUUUUUCUAUCCCGGAUUCAUCAAGAUACCAGUUCAGCAGACCUGGAGGCUGGUGCCCUUGCUUUAAAAACUGAUCUUAGAGGACGUAAUUUGCAGAGGAAACAAUUGGUUAAAGACAAUUUUGACUGUUUUGUCUCUUGCAAAACUACAAUUGAUGACAUUGAAUCAAAAUUGAAACGUAUUGAGGAAGACCCCGAAGGUUCUGGGACUUCUCACCUGUUCAAUUGCAUGCAAGGAGUAAGCUCACUGGCUAAUCGGGCUUUUAAACCUCUAUUUGAGAGACAGUCUCAAGCUGAGAAGAUCAGAUCUGUCCAAGGAAUGCUUCAGAGAUUCCGAACGCUAUUUAACUUGCCCAGUACAAUUCGAGGCAGCAUUAGUAAGGGUGAAUAUGACUUGGCUGUAAGGGAAUACAAAAAGGCGAAGUCGAUCGCUCUGCCCUCUCAUGUUAAUAUACUAAAACGUGUUCUUGAAGAGGUUGAAAAAGUGAUGCAUGAGUUCAAAGGCACACUUUACAAAUCGAUGGAAGAUCCUCAAAUAGACCUUACAAAUCUUGAGAACACUGUGAGAUUG
Molecule: unclassified non-coding RNA, 765 nt
Filed under: Hevea brasiliensis (rubber tree)
Lineage: Eukaryota; Viridiplantae; Streptophyta; Magnoliopsida; Malpighiales; Euphorbiaceae
Source: RNAcentral